This 406-nucleotide ribosomal RNA is filed under the name uncultured bacterium. Its description in RNAcentral is "partial 16S ribosomal RNA". It matches the Rfam family "Bacterial small subunit ribosomal RNA", at positions 30 to 526 of the family's 1533-position model. The record is from RNAcentral.
AUUGAACGCUGGCGGCAGGCCUAACACAUGCAAGUCGAGCGUGCGGCUGACGGGUGUGUAAUGUAUGUGGCUCUGCCCGAUAGUGGGGUAUAACUACUGGAAACGGUGGCUAAUACCGCAUACUAUCGGCUGAACCCAUAUGGGCUUAGCUAGUAGGUGGGGUAAAGGCUCACCUCGGCGACGAUCUCUAGCUGGUCUGCGAGGAUGAUCAGCCACACUGGGACUGAGACACGGCCCUGACGCCUCGGGUAGGCAGCGGUGGUGAAUAUUGCACAAUGGGCGCAAGCCGGAUGCAGCGAUGCCGCGAGGAUGAAGAAGGCCGUAGGGUUGGAAAGUACUUGCAGCGGGGAGGCGUGACCCGCAGAAGAAGCGCCGGCUAACGCCGUGCCAGCAGCCGCGGUAAUUC